GAAAAGAAACUAACUAGGAUUCCCUUAGUAGCGGCGAGCGAACAGGGAAAAGCCCAGCACCGAAUCCCGCGGCCGUCGCCGGCCGCCGGGAAAUGUGGUGUUAGGGAGGAUCAUUGUCUCGGUGUCGCACGGCGCGUCCAAGUCCACCUUGAACGGGGCCACUUACCCAUAGAGGGUGCCAGGCCCGUAGCGACCGCCGUCGGCGCCGGGAGGAUCUCUCCUCAGAGUCGGGUUGCUUGAGAGUGCAGCCCUAAGUGGGUGGUAAACUCCAUCUAAGGCUAAAUAUUACCACGAGACCGAUAGCGAACAAGUACCGUGAGGGAAAGUUGAAAAGAACUUUGAAGAGAGAGUUCAACAGUACGUGAAACCGUUCAGGGGUAAACCUGAGAAACUCGAAAAGUCGAAACGGGGAGAUUCAACUUGUCUCGCGGGUCGCGCGCGRCUUCGGUACACGACGUUCGGCGCGGUCGUCGCUUCGGCGGCGGCUUAGCGUCGUUCGCGCCGGAGCCGUUGCAAGAGCGCCUGCGAACUUGUGCACUUCUCCCCGCAGUAGAAAGGUCGUGACCCGUUGGGCGUCGGUCUACGGCCCGCGGUGGAGCCCGCUUGUGAGUGUUUCGGCACUCCUUCGGACCCGCGGUGUCCCGGCCGGCUCGCUCGACGGUACGAAUAUAGGUGCGGGACCGCGAAUUUUCUCGCGUCCGGCGCGCGGCAAGCGCGGUCGGUUUAAAACUCCGGCUGUCGGACCUGUGUGCCGACACCGGACCCGAUCGGCUGCUGGUCGCGUAGCUCUCGGACAGAUCCCGUCGUUGUGCCACCUGUCGACGACGCUUUAGCAUUGGGUACUCUCAGGACCCGUCUUGAAACACGGACCAAGGAGUCUAGCAUGUGCGCGAGUCAUUGGGACCGAGCGAAACCUAAAGGCGAAAUGAAAGCGAAGGCCGUUCUUGACGGACGCGCCGAGGGAAGAUGCGGAGCGCCGAGGCACUCCGCCGCAUUCCCGGGGCGUUUCGUGCUCAUCGCGAGCUGAAGCGCACCUAGAGCGUACAUGCUGGGACCCGAAAGAUGGUGAACUAUGCCUGGUCAGG
This 1085-nucleotide ribosomal RNA is filed under the name Pachycorynus sp. NHMD DZ-3.0. Its description in RNAcentral is "partial large subunit ribosomal RNA". It matches the Rfam family "Eukaryotic large subunit ribosomal RNA", at positions 56 to 845 of the family's 3401-position model. Lineage: Eukaryota; Metazoa; Arthropoda; Insecta; Coleoptera; Staphylinidae. The record is from RNAcentral.